RNAcentral lists this ribosomal RNA (598 nucleotides) under uncultured Bacteroidota bacterium. RNAcentral's name for it is "uncultured Bacteroidetes bacterium partial 16S ribosomal RNA". Lineage: Bacteria; Pseudomonadati; Bacteroidota. The record is from RNAcentral.
CAUGCUCCACUGCUUGUGCGGGCCCCCGUCAAUUCCUUUGAGUUUCAACCUUGCGAUCGUACUUCCCAGGUGGAAUACUUAAUGCGUUAGCUCAGAUACUGAACCCAUUCGGGCCCAACAUCUAGUAUUCAUCGUUUAGGGCGUGGACUACCAGGGUAUCUAAUCCUGUUUGCUACCCACGCUUUCGUGCUUUAGCGUCAGUAAUGGACCAAGUGACUGCCUUCGCCAUUGGUGUUCUAUCUGAUAUCUACGCAUUUCACUGCUACACCAGACAUUCCAUCACUCUCUUCCAUACUCUAGACUUGCAGUAUCAAAGGCAGUUUCACAGUUAAGCUGUGAGAUUUCACCUCUGACUUACAAAUCCGCCUGAGCACCCUUUACACCCAGUAAAUCCGGACAACGCUUGCCCCCUACGUAUUACCGCGGCUGCUGGCACGUAGUUAGCCGGGGCUUACUUUAGAAGUACCAUCAUUUCCCAUCUAAUGGGAAUUUUUUCCUUCUUUACAGGAGUUUACAAGCUGAAAGCCCUUCAUCCUCCACGCGGCGUUGCUGCUUCAGGAUUUCUCCCAUUGAGCAAUAUUCCUUACUGCUGCCUCCC